GCGGAGGAAAAGAAACCAACUGGGAUUCCCUUAGUAGCGGCGAGUGAAGUGGGAAAAGCUCAAAUUUAAAAUCUCUGCCCUUUGGGUAGCGAAUUGUAGUUUAUGAAAUUAUAUUCGUUGGUGUAAUUAUGGUUAAAAUCUCCUGGAACGAGGUAUCAAAGAAGGUGAUAAUCCUGUUUGAAGCCAUUAAUUAUAUUAACAUAUGUUUAUAAUUUCGAGAGUCGGGUUGUUUGGGAAUGCAAUCUUAAUUGGGUGAUAAAUCUCAUCUAAAGCUAAAUAUCCGCAAGAGACCGAUAGCAUACAAGUACCGUGAGGGAAAGGUGAAAAGAACUCUGAACAGAGAGUUAAAAGUACUUGAAAUUGUUAACAGGGAAACGUUUUAACCCUUGGAAUGAUCUUAGUUAAAUCAGCUGUUAGAUUCCAAAAAGAUGAAAGCAGUGCACUUUGGCUGGACAAACCAACGUUUAUUUUUAUGGGAUGAAACAUACUUUUAAUGCGGUAGUAUUUUAACCUUCGGGUUAGACUAUAGAAGCUUGAGGUAAAUAAUC
RNAcentral lists this ribosomal RNA (548 nucleotides) under uncultured eukaryote. Its description in RNAcentral is "eukaryotic LSU rRNA". It matches the Rfam family "Eukaryotic large subunit ribosomal RNA", at positions 50 to 591 of the family's 3401-position model. The record is from RNAcentral.